CCUACGGGUGGCUGCAGUGAGGAAUAUUGGUCAAUGGGCGGGAGCCUGAACCAGCCAAGUCGCGUGAGGGACGACGGUCCUAUGGAUUGUAAACCUCUUUUGUCGGGGAACAAAGGCGCCCACGGGUGGGCGGAUGAGUGUACCCGAAGAAAAAGCAUCGGCUAACUCCGUGCCAGCAGCCGCGGUAAUACGGAGGAUGCGAGCGUUAUCCGGAUUUAUUGGGUUUAAAGGGUGCGCAGGCGGAGGCACAAGUCAGCGGUAAAAUCGCGGGGCUCAACCCCGCUCCGCCGUUGAAACUGUGUCCCUUGAGUGCGCGAAGGGUAGGCGGAAUGCGUGGUGUAGCGGUGAAAUGCAUAGAUAUCACGCAGAACUCCGAUCGCGAAGGCAGCCUACCGGCGCGCAACUGACGCUCAUGCACGAAAGCGUGGGUAUCGAACAGGAUUAGAUACCCUUGUAGUC
RNAcentral lists this ribosomal RNA (459 nucleotides) under uncultured bacterium. RNAcentral describes it as "partial 16S ribosomal RNA". It matches the Rfam family "Bacterial small subunit ribosomal RNA", at positions 338 to 795 of the family's 1533-position model. The record is from RNAcentral.